This 738-nucleotide ribosomal RNA is filed under the name Bacillus thuringiensis. RNAcentral describes it as "bacterial SSU rRNA". It matches the Rfam family "Bacterial small subunit ribosomal RNA", at positions 56 to 775 of the family's 1533-position model. Lineage: Bacteria; Bacillati; Bacillota; Bacilli; Caryophanales; Bacillaceae. The record is from RNAcentral.
UGCAGUCGAGCGAAUGGAUUGAGAGCUUGCUCUCAAGAAGUUAGCGGCGGACGGGUGAGUAACACGUGGGUAACCUGCCCAUAAGACUGGGAUAACUCCGGGAAACCGGGGCUAAUACCGGAUAACAUUUUGAACUGCAUGGUUCGAAAUUGAAAGGCGGCUUCGGCUGUCACUUAUGGAUGGACCCGCGUCGCAUUAGCUAGUUGGUGAGGUAACGGCUCACCAAGGCAACGAUGCGUAGCCGACCUGAGAGGGUGAUCGGCCACACUGGGACUGAGACACGGCCCAGACUCCUACGGGAGGCAGCAGUAGGGAAUCUUCCGCAAUGGACGAAAGUCUGACGGAGCAACGCCGCGUGAGUGAUGAAGGCUUUCGGGUCGUAAAACUCUGUUGUUAGGGAAGAACAAGUGCUAGUUGAAUAAGCUGGCACCUUGACGGUACCUAACCAGAAAGCCACGGCUAACUACGUGCCAGCAGCCGCGGUAAUACGUAGGUGGCAAGCGUUAUCCGGAAUUAUUGGGCGUAAAGCGCGCGCAGGUGGUUUCUUAAGUCUGAUGUGAAAGCCCACGGCUCAACCGUGGAGGGUCAUUGGAAACUGGGAGACUUGAGUGCAGAAGAGGAAAGUGGAAUUCCAUGUGUAGCGGUGAAAUGCGUAGAGAUAUGGAGGAACACCAGUGGCGAAGGCGACUUUCUGGUCUGUAACUGACACUGAGGCGCGAAAGCGUGGGGAGCAAACAG